Molecule: long non-coding RNA, 581 nt
Organism: Melanotaenia boesemani (Boeseman's rainbowfish)
Lineage: Eukaryota; Metazoa; Chordata; Actinopteri; Atheriniformes; Melanotaeniidae
Exons: 3
Source: RefSeq, a predicted model, not a curated record
AAACAGGCUACAAACAGGACAUCUGACACACAGACGGGAAGCAGUCAGUAAAACCCAGCAGGAAGAUCAGUGUCAUCUGAAAACUACAGCCGCACAGGGUUGGCCAGUUUGACCUGGAUCUGAGCACAAUGGAAGGAGCCAAACACCCCCACAACCUCCAGCAGACCAUCAUCCAGCCUGCAGUCCAAGACCAGAAACACAGCUGCUCACUUUUAGUCGCCAUGACCUAAACUUAAAAGCAGUAAUCACACUUUAUACAUCCUACCGAGUCGGGGGGCAUGGUUCGUCUCCCAUUCCCUCCCAGAGUCUGCAGCCUCCACCCCAAUAGCCGAUGUUACAAACGAUGAUGCCCUCCAGACUGGGCAGCGCCACCCUCUCCCCAUCCAGCUCCAGCUGUUAUGGAAACACACACAAACAAAAGUUUCACAUAAAAUAAACAAGAGUGAUUGCAACAUGAACCACUGUUAUGUACUUUUUAAUGCUUCUUCUGCACCCGCUGUAAUGGUUUUAAAUGUUUUAUUUAAAGCACUUUGAAUUGUAUGUGAAAUGUGCUGUACUAAUAAACUUCUCUUGAUACUGUG